This 497-nucleotide ribosomal RNA is filed under the name uncultured bacterium. Its description in RNAcentral is "partial 16S ribosomal RNA". It matches the Rfam family "Bacterial small subunit ribosomal RNA", at positions 28 to 507 of the family's 1533-position model. The record is from RNAcentral.
GAUGAACGCUGGCGGCGUGCCUAAUACAUGCAAGUCGAGCGAACAGACGAGGAGCUUGCUCCUCUGAUGUUAGCGGCGGACGGGUGAGUAACACGUGGAUAACCUACCUAUAAGACUGGGAUAACUUCGGGAAACCGGAGCUAAUACCGGAUAACAUGUUGAACCGCAUGGUUCAACAGUGAAAGACGGUCUUGCUGUCACUUAUAGAUGGAUCCGCGCCGCAUUAGCUAGUUGGUAAGGUAACGGCUUACCAAGGCAACGAUGCGUAGCCGACCUGAGAGGGUGAUCGGCCACCCUGGAACUGAGACACGGUCCAGACUCCUACGGGAGGCAGCAGUAGGGAAUCUUCCGCAAUGGGCGAAAGCCUGACGGAGCAACGCCGCGUGAGUGAAGAAGGUCUUCGGAUCGUAAAACUCUGUUAUUAGGGAAGAACAAAUGUGUAAGUAACUAUGCACGUCUUGACGGUACCUAAUCAGAAAGCCACGGCUAACUACGUG